Molecule: ribosomal RNA, 432 nt
Filed under: uncultured bacterium
Lineage: Bacteria
Description: partial 16S ribosomal RNA
Rfam family: Bacterial small subunit ribosomal RNA
Source: RNAcentral
AACGAACGCUGGCGGCAUGCCUAACACAUGCAAGUCGAACGAGACCUUCGGGUCUAGUGGCGCACGGGUGCGUAACGCGUGGGAACCUGCCCUUAGGUUCGGAAUAACUCCCCGAAAGGGGUGCUAAUACCGGAUAAUGUCUUCGGACCAAAGAUUUAUCGCCUUUGGAUGGGCCCGCGUUGGAUUAGCUAGUUGGUAGGGUAAAAGCCUACCAAGGCGACGAUCCAUAGCUGGUCUGAGAGGAUGAUCAGCCACACUGGGACUGAGACACGGCCCAGACUCCUACGGGAGGCAGCAGUGGGGAAUAUUGGCCAAUGGGCGAAAGCCUGAUCCAGCAAUGCCGCGUGAGUGAUGAAGGCCUUAGGGUUGUAAAGCUCUUUUACCCGGGAUGAGAAUGACAGUACCGGGAGAAGAAGCCCCGGCUAACUCCGU